RNAcentral lists this ribosomal RNA (497 nucleotides) under uncultured bacterium. RNAcentral's name for it is "partial 16S ribosomal RNA". It matches the Rfam family "Bacterial small subunit ribosomal RNA", at positions 29 to 523 of the family's 1533-position model. The record is from RNAcentral.
AUUGAACGCUGGCGGCAUGCUUUACACAUGCAAGUCGAACGCGAAAGGGGGCAACCCUGAGUAGAGUGGCGCACGGGUGAGUAAUGCAUCGGAACGUGUCCUGUAGCGGGGGAUAACCUAGCGAAAGCUAGGCUAAUACCGCAUACGCCCUGAGGGGGAAAGUGGGGGAUCGCAAGACCUCACACUAUAGGAGCGGCCGAUGCCGGAUUAGCUAGUUGGCGGGGUAACGGCCCACCAAGGCGGCGAUCCGUAGCUGGUCUGAGAGGACGAUCAGCCACACUGGAACUGAGACACGGUCCAGACUCCUACGGGAGGCAGCAGUGGGGAAUAUUGGACAAUGGGGGAAACCCUGAUCCAGCGACGCCGCGUGGGUGAAGAAGGCCUGCGGGUUGUAGAGCCCUUUCGGUAGGGACGAAAGCUCUCGACCUAACACGUCGGGAGGUUGACUUAACCUACAAAAGAAGCACCGGCUAACUCUGUGCCAGCCGCCGCUGUAA